UACUACUAUAACAAAGGCUACUGAGACU
RNAcentral lists this non-coding RNA (28 nucleotides) under Bombyx mori (domestic silkworm). The record is from RNAcentral. Lineage: Eukaryota; Metazoa; Arthropoda; Insecta; Lepidoptera; Bombycidae.